This 790-nucleotide ribosomal RNA is filed under the name Escherichia coli. RNAcentral's name for it is "partial 23S ribosomal RNA". It matches the Rfam family "Bacterial large subunit ribosomal RNA", at positions 954 to 1744 of the family's 2925-position model. The record is from RNAcentral. Lineage: Bacteria; Pseudomonadati; Pseudomonadota; Gammaproteobacteria; Enterobacterales; Enterobacteriaceae.
CUGCGAAUACCGGAGAAUGUUAUCACGGGAGACACACGGCGGGUGCUAACGUCCGUCGUGAAGAGGGAAACAACCCAGACCGCCAGCUAAGGUCCCAAAGUCAUGGUUAAGUGGGAAACGAUGUGGGAAGGCCCAGACAGCCAGGAUGUUGGCUUAGAAGCAGCCAUCAUUUAAAGAAAGCGUAAUAGCUCACUGGUCGAGUCGGCCUGCGCGGAAGAUGUAACGGGGCUAAACCAUGCACCGAAGCUGCGGCAGCGACGCUGAUGCGUUGUUGGGUAGGGGAGCGUUCUGUAAGCCUGCGAAGGUGUGCUGUGAGGCAUGCUGGAGGUAUCAGAAGUGCGAAUGCUGACAUAAGUAACGAUAAAGCGGGUGAAAAGCCCGCUCGCCGGAAGACCAAGGGUUCCUGUCCAACGUUAAUCGGGGCAGGGUGAGUCGACCCCUAAGGCGAGGCCGAAAGGCGUAGUCGAUGGGAAACAGGUUAAUAUUCCUGUACUUGGUGUUACUGCGAAGGGGGGACGGAGAAGGCUAUGUUGGCCGGGCGACGGUUGUCCCGGUUUAAGCGUGUAGGCUGGUUUUCCAGGCAAAUCCGGAAAAUCAAGGCUGAGGCGUGAUGACGAGGCACUACGGUGCUGAAGCAACAAAUGCCCUGCUUCCAGGAAAAGCCUCUAAGCAUCAGGUAACAUCAAAUCGUACCCCAAACCGACACAGGUGGUCAGGUAGAGAAUACCAAGGCGCUUGAGAGAACUCGGGUGAAGGAACUAGGCAAAAUGGUGCCGUAACUUCGGGAGAA